Drosophila yakuba is the source of this 316-nucleotide long non-coding RNA. RefSeq lists it as uncharacterized. The transcript is spliced from 2 exons. NCBI's taxonomy places the organism in Eukaryota, Metazoa, Arthropoda, Insecta, Diptera, Drosophilidae. The record is from RefSeq and is a predicted model, not a curated record.
GUCGCCACUCAACUCAUACCACGCCACGUUGCAGAUGCCCUCGUACACCUGGUCAUACUGUUGUAGGAAAAUAAAUAUGCAUAGAUGGACAUGCUGUACGCAGAAACCACAAAAAAGAUGGCCGAUGGCAUGUGAAAGCUGCUCAAAUUAAUGCAGAAGCUGAGCAUCAUAGCCAAAGCCAUCGAGAGAACCUGGGUGGCAAUCAACUCGUAGUAGAGGGCAUUUAUGGCGCGACAGUACCUAAAAUCGAAGGAAACAAUGACCAAUGAUAAUGGUAUACUGAGGAUAAAUAUAAUCCAAAAUGUAUGAACUCUAA